This 285-nucleotide ribosomal RNA is filed under the name Triticum aestivum (bread wheat). RNAcentral describes it as "partial small subunit ribosomal RNA". The record is from RNAcentral. Lineage: Eukaryota; Viridiplantae; Streptophyta; Magnoliopsida; Poales; Poaceae.
AUGAGGAGGAGAGAAGUGGAGGCGCCGGCGCUAGGAGAUUUCGAAAGAGAACACCACUCUCCAGAUCUCGCCCGUCUGCCGCACCGACUUCGCUCUGAUUUGUACCUUGACGGCCGCCGUGUCUGCUCCCGUGAUGCGCUGAUCUGCUGCCGACCGCUCUGCUCCUUUGCGGACGUUGCCGAGGCGGAGGAUGGAGAUGGGAGGACCGGAGGAGGCGGCGGCGGCAACAGCUGGAAGGGAGUGAAUAGCAAAAAACCAUCACACUACGGGUCAUUAGGGAUGUAA